This 253-nucleotide ribosomal RNA is filed under the name uncultured bacterium. RNAcentral's name for it is "partial 16S ribosomal RNA". It matches the Rfam family "Bacterial small subunit ribosomal RNA", at positions 524 to 776 of the family's 1533-position model. The record is from RNAcentral.
UACGGGGGGGGCAAGCGUUGUUCGGAAUUACUGGGCGUAAAGGGCUCGUAGGCGGCCAACUAAGUCAGACGUGAAAUCCCUCGGCUUAACCGGGGAACUGCGUCUGAUACUGGAUGGCUUGAGUUCGGGAGAGGGAUGCGGAAUUCCAGGUGUAGCGGUGAAAUGCGUAGAUAUCUGGAGGAACACCGGUGGCGAAGGCGGCAUCCUGGACCGACACUGACGCUGAGGAGCGAAAGCCAGGGGAGCAAACCGG